UACGAAGGGUGCAAGCGUUACUCGGAAUUACUGGGCGUAAAGCGUGCGUAGGCGGUUUGUUAAGUCCGUUGUGAAAGCCCUGGGCUCAACCUGGGAAUUGCAGUGGAUACUGGCGAGCUAGAGUGCGGUAGAGGAUGGUGGAAUUCCCGGUGUAGCGGUGAAAUGCGUAGAGAUCGGGAGGAACACCCGUGGCGAAGGCGGCCUUCUGGACAGUGACCGACGCUGAGAUGCGAAAGCGUGGGGAGCAAACAGG
RNAcentral lists this ribosomal RNA (253 nucleotides) under uncultured bacterium. Its description in RNAcentral is "partial 16S ribosomal RNA". It matches the Rfam family "Bacterial small subunit ribosomal RNA", at positions 524 to 776 of the family's 1533-position model. The record is from RNAcentral.